RNAcentral lists this long non-coding RNA (6726 nucleotides) under Fragaria vesca (wild strawberry). RNAcentral's name for it is "long non-coding RNA (FVES_LNC002671)". Lineage: Eukaryota; Viridiplantae; Streptophyta; Magnoliopsida; Rosales; Rosaceae. The record is from RNAcentral.
UCAAAAUCUGCAACAUCAAUGUGUUCUUUGCAAGAUUUGAAGAAUGUAAAAAUAAGAUUGGCGUCAUUGCCAUCAACUUCUUUGUCUUCUUCUUCAGCUGCGUGAUGAGCCUUUUGCUCUCUUAUAUAUUUAUAUACUUUAUAUGGUGCAGCUAAUUUAGCACUUGCCUUGCAAUACUCAAAAUUGAUGCUCAUUAGAUCUAUGUCUAUAGCAUACCUCAUCUCCAAUAAUAAGCCAUGUCAUGGCUGUGAGGUUUUCUUGAUGUCAGUCACCCAUAGGUGAUAUAUCCAAUAUCAUUGGAUUCGAGAUUAGUAAAUUCUGGGCAUUUUUUCUUUUAUUUCUUUUGCCCCUUUUUUUUCGACAUCUUAAGAAACAAGAAGAAGAAUUAGUGUCGCACUCCCAAAGACUUCCUCGACAUCUAAUAUUUCCAAGAAAUUUGGAUUAGACCAAAACCAUGAUGUUUAAAAGGUCGUUCUGAGGCUCAUGAACUUUUUCAUAGCCAUAAUUCUCUUUUCGAUGCUCAUAGCAUAUGAAUCCCCACGAUUCAAUUAUUUCCCAAAAGUCCCACGCCAUAAGAGGGGUCGGGAUGUAGAAGAAGGGAAGUUGGAAAAUCCCCGAUAAAAACACAAUUCUCAGAAAGCAGGAACUUUGAUUUAAAGCUUACUUGGUAAAAUUUAAGCUUGAAAUUCUUAUACACGCAUGUGCCGAUGUAGACGUGUAUGUCUCUUGAGAAUUUUCGCGUGCUUAUCAUAAUUAAUUCGAGAUUUCAGAUGUUGCUUCGAUCUCCAACAAUCACCUUUUGCAAGACAAAGAAACUCUGCCUUCUUAACAUAAGAUAAAAUAUAUGAUUAGCACCUCGUUGAUAUAAGCAGGACUAUUAUAUGUGUGCAAUGAAAAUUUCACAUAAGAAGGCCACGAUAUCAUCAUAUAUAUAUUCCCUGCCACGGACUCACGAAUAAUUGAUAUAUAUAUAUGUGAUAUUUAUAUGUAAAUAUCGAUCUAGAAAACUUAGCUUUUUGUGUUCAGAGGCACAUCAACCCAAUUUCGAUCGUCUUUUGCCGAAGAAGAUCUAGGUCUGGAAUUGAUCAUCUUUGUAUGCCACGACGUCUAUAAUUCUUUUCAUUCCUCCACAUGUAUAUAUUGUCUUGGUAGAAAGGCCACACGUCAUGGCCUCCUGACAAUUGUGACUUGGUCGUGAGUCCCAAAGCUUCAUAAAACAAAAGCACCUCCACAUAAUAAACCUCUUUCUUCAAUUCGGCCAUUGAUGGUAAUAGAAGGGGUUAGCGCACAGAGAAACCAAUUUAUCGGCGGCCACUGUUUUGGUUUCUAGGUGACGGACGGCAGAAUUUUUUUUUUUCAGUUUCUAGGGUUACUCAGGGUUAGAGCAAAGUGUCUGAUAACGUGUUGCGGGAGAAAUAAACUAAGAGAGAGAAUUGGGAGAAUAUCGUUCUUAUUUCAUUCAUAGAAUAAAUACUCUAUAUAUAGAGGAUACAAUACAUAAGGAAAGUACAUAUAUUCCUAUUACAACAUUGAUAUCGAAUCCUAUUAUAAUUCUAUUUUGACUAAGGCACACACAAUAAAUCAUAUUUCCUUAAACAGAAAUAUAUAUAUAUAUAUAUAUAUAUAUAUAUAUAUAUAUGAUGACUUCUAGAGUAAUAGAAGUGUCCUUCAAACAAAGAAGAAUAAUAAAUUUGCAUCUAGAAUAUUCAAAUUUCAGAAUAGUCUUAACGAAUCAAAAUAGUGUGAGAAGGUUAAGCAUAUCAAAAUACUAUAAUAAAACAUUUGUUUUAGCUUAAAAAAUUAUAGUUAAAGCGUCAAGACCUCUCAAGUGCUAGCACUACAAAGGGCAAACUUGGAGCGCUAGACAGACUAAGCGGUCAUGUUUUAAAACACCAAUAUUUUCUCUCAUGUAGUGUGCAAUCCCAAUUCAUAAUUAAGCAUCGUUAGUUAAAUUAAUCCCUAAUUAUAGGGGUACGAUGAACUUCUUCCAAGUUCAAUGUGUGAGUAAUCAGUAAUGCAUGUUUUGGCCUCGUACAACUAUCUACCUUCCCGAUACAAAUAAUGCCAUGGUAUCGGUGAGACGCGUCUACAUGAAAUUCAUUCGCAUACGCACUUGGAUUGUCUAGUGUACCUUUAAUUUUCUUUAGAAUUUGGAGGUACGGAAAAUACUUGCAUCCGAUUAAUUUGGAUGCGAGCAUUCAAACUCUAUGUUGGGCAAUGUAGUUUCAUGAUCUAACCGCUUAACAUAAAUCAGCCUCUGAUCAUUUGCUCUUUCAAUAAGAUCAAGCCAAUGAACAUUUUGAGUGAAAGUUAGUAAUUCCAUUUCCAUGGCCAACUGUACAUAUAUUUGAUGCUAUUGAACGAGUAAACGGUUUAUGUUUUCUUUAAUUUUUUGCUAGAUGAUCAUAAGGGUCGACUUAAUGUAUGAACUGUUUGAUCAUGAAUUCACAUUGUCCAACAAAUGUAAACAUGAUACAGUUUGGACAUCUUUGGAUGGAAAGCUUUAUCCUUCAAGUUUUGGGGAAGGAAGAAAAUGAUGUUGAGCCUCAUCAUGGGGUUUCGGUAGUAAGCAAAAGUUGAGAAAAUAGCGUUAGGACUUUACACAUACCAGGAAUUUUUUAAUCUUGUGUUGAUAGUGUAGGUUAGAUUUAUGGAUGUUCGUGAACUGUUUGAACAGAGAAAUUCUUAGCUGCAACAGCCGCAUCACCUGGCACAUGCGCACCCAAUCACCCUUUGACACGUUGUUUUUUUUUUUUUUUCUACACUUGCCUUCUUCUUCUUCCUCCUCCUUUCUCCGGUCGGAAACUGAUCCCCUUUGAUCUUCUUUCCCUCUGCCCAGCCGCCGCCUCAAAUCUGCAACCCCCACCGUAAAGGAAGAAGAAGCUUGACCGAAGGAAGAAAAAAUAAGCUUCACCGGAGGAAGGAAGAAAAAGCUUCGCCGGGGAAGAGGAAGGAAGAGGACGCCUCCACCAAUCUGUGUAAAGGAAGAAGCGCUGGAGCAGAGGAAGAAGAAGAACGCAGGUGUGGGGGGGGGAAAAACACGUGUUGCUGUGUGACUGAUGGGUCGCACAGGACACGUGGUGCGUUAGCCGCACCUAAGACUCUCUCGUUUGAACAUGUUGAAUUACUCAGAUAAUAAUUCAAUAUGAAAGCACUAAAGCGCGGCUCGUUAUGUUGAAUGUUUCUCUCUAGAAAAAAAAAUAUAGGCUUAUACUGAUUUUCCCGACUAUGAGUAACAUUGUGUCGUGGAAUUUUGGAAAGUCUUUUUAGAAAGAGUGAAGGAUCUUGUCCUAUGAUUCUUUUGUAAAGGUAACACAAGCGUGAGAGCCUCUACUUAUUCCACAUGUUAUUCGAUAUAGGCUUAUAUUUCUUUACGAGUUAGGUUUUAUUAUCCAUAUAUAUAUAUACAUGAAUCUAAUCAUUUUCACUCACAUAAUAUUUCUGAAUAGAGUAGGAUCACUUCUGUGAUUAUCAAAAGCUAGGUUUCGAAGCUAUUCAAUAUAUUUGUGCAAGUGUGUUAUUUCUAGAACGUAAACCCAUGCAGGUGGCACAAUUUUUGCUUGGAUUCUCAUCGAUCAUUUAAAGGUAGGAAUCUCUCGCUUUCAUCAUGAGCUUUGCUGUGUUUCAUACAAUCACAGAUACAGAUUCACAUAAUUCUCUAUGAUUGAUAUGUUUACCCGUAAUGUCUUCCUGAUGAUUAUUAUACAUCGAUCAAUUACCAAACCAAACUCUUCUUGUAUAUAAUUAACGUAGGCCAUCUAUAAUUUCUUUUCUUGUAAGACUACGUAACCUACUAUUAUAAUAAGGAUAUGCGUAUCCUAAGGAUAUGCAUCUGCUGAAAUAUAUAUAUAAACACUGUCAUGAACUUUUUUUCUUUUUCUUUUUUUGAGAACAUCCAUGUAACAUUACUCAACACAUAAGUAUAUAAAAACUAUAUGAUUAUCAAGGCAAUUUAAUUAAGUCUGUAGUGAAGACUAGCUGACACUUGCAAAUCAAACGGUUCAUUAAGCCAGCAUAAAAGAAAUUACAAAAUGCCUAAUAUCACCACAUACUAUUCAUUCCAAAUGAUACAAAACAACAUUUUCAUUCUUAAUUUUUUUUUUUGAUAAUUACUAGACACGGGGAGCUAGCUAGCUAGAUACUACAUGACAGAGCAGGCAUUUGGGUUGUCCUCACUGAACAUUUGAGUAUAGUGGUCAUCCACAGCACUCUCGGUGAUAGUGGCCGUGCUCGGGAGGCUCCUAACCAUAUUUGGAGGUGCUUUCUUGUCGUAGGCUCCGGCAACAUAAGGAUGAGCCACCAGAGUGAAUGGAACAUAAGGCCACAGCUCGCACUUCUUCUUGGUCGAUUGAGCUGCCUUCAACACUUUCUUUGCGUCGACGUAACCAGUCACCGUUGCCUUCUGCUGCUUCAAGUCGAUAUCCACAGAUUUAGCCCCUUUGAUCAUCCACCAAAUUAAUUGAAAAACGAUCAGUAUAAGGUCACAGAGAUCAUUAUCAUAGAACGACCAUACAUGCAUAUUCCAAAUCUGGUUCAAGAAAUGGAAAUGGGUCAUAUAUAGUACCUUUUACACCGGAGAGGACCUUCUUCACCUUGCGACCACAACCAUCGCAGUCCAUCCUAAUCUUUACGGCUACGGUCUGUAUUUGCUUCUUCUUCUUCUUGCUUUUGACACUGUUUAGCAGGUCUGACAAGUACUCCAAGGUUCCUUGAACUCCCAUCUUUUCUAGUUAGUUUCCUUGAAAAAUCAAAGUGCGGGCAGAAAAGUAGCUCGCUAUAUGAGCAGCAAUUAAGCUUCCUUUGUUACAAGCGGAGAGCUAGAGAAGAAGAGGUCUGAUCGAUUCUUGUUAAAAACGAGAGAGACAAGCGCUAGAUUCUGGGGAUAGCUACAGCUCGAGUCUCUGAUAUCUUUGAAAAGCUCUAGACUGAUAAUUCAUGUACGUAUUGAACAAAUCAAAGUGCAGAAAGAGUUGAAGAUACAUGCAUUAACCAAAGAAUAGGGUUGAGGGUGGAAGAUAUGUACGUAUGGAAGCAAGAGAGAAAGAGGUGUUCUGAGUCUGUUGAAAAUAGAUAGAUUGUGGGAGGUAGCUAGAACACAAAUCUUGGUCUUGAACUACUCUGGCUUGCUGACUUCUGUACGUGAUUUAUAGGGAGAUCCAACACCUGGCUCGUAAAAAUAAAAUAAUAAAUUAGAUAAAAUAAUCAAUUAUUGAAAGGUACCCUAUCCUUCAUGGUGCCCUAGAAACUGGGGGAAGCUUUCCCACUCCCCAUAUAUACUUGAUCUAGCUGAUCGUUAGUCUUUGAGAUUCGACCUCUUAAUGGAAAGGCAGUGAACCCCGGCCCUAAAGAAAAGGUAUCAAAGUUCCUUUAGUAUAUACCCUUCUAAAGAUGGUUCCAAGUAAUCCUAGUUUUCACGCCAUGAUACUAAUGCGGUAAUACUAUUAGUACUAGACUCGCCAAAUUUGAUUCACUAACUAAAUAAGAUGUUAUCGAUCUGGUGGAAGCUAGGGUAAGAUAUUACAUAUUUCUAUGAAGGUCCAUUGACAUCUUUCAAUUCUCUUACAAAAAUUCUCUCCGAAAAAUGGUUAUAUAAAAGAUCAUAUACAUUUAACAGUAUGACGGUCGUAAUCACUGUUUCAAGUUUAUCCGAUAUGUGUUCACUAUAUAUAAUAAAUGAGAUAUAGCGAUUGAGGGUAGGCUAGCUAAGAUCGAAUGAGCUAGGACCUUAACUAUUUGUUAAUAAAGAUUAACAUACACUACCCAGAACCCAAAUGUGUUAGGUGUUGAAAAAGAGAGGGAGAGAGAUCAAGGCAUUGGGUACACGAAAGGGGCAAGACAUUAAGUAAACAAGGUACAGUUGAGCUUUGACAGUAACGCUUUGAUCAAAAGAAUACGUUGACAGGCUUACGUUUCAUAAUCCUCUGCAUGAGACCCGGGGGAUGGUGGACAUCAAUGGCUGGUGAUAAUCCACGUUACAGAAGAACCUGGGAUCUGGCAUGGUUGUGGAUUCGGUUUGUUCAGAAGCAAUUGUCCAUUUGUGAGAUCUGGGCGAGUGAUUAAUGGGGUAUGUUUGGACGGUGCGACUGUACAAAAAGAGUGGAUAAACUAGAAUAUGCACUUAAACAAUGGAAGCUGGAGUGCUUGACUAUGACUGCGAGAGUGUGAUCAGUUGAAAAAGUUGGGCAACAAAUUAAACUUUCAUCUUCGAUUAUAUAUGGGAGGAAUUGAGUAAAAAACUAAGGUUUUCUUAAUUUCAGGAAAACCUCAUCACUCCUAUGCCCAGGGAGAUCUCUAGGGAUUGGAUAAUACAUGUUCUUCUUGUACUAAACAAAGAUGGUCGGUUGCUCUUUGAAAGUCCAGAUAAAGUGGAAACUCCAGGCUAGGGGAAUGAAUUCAGUCAAAUACAUGGUCGACUUCGAUCUUCCAUAAUUGUUUUAUGAAACAAGUAGAAGUGUAUAAAUAUAUAUCGGUGAGAGUAUAAAUAUAUAUACAGCCCCCUUCCAUUGAGGGAUCCCUAUUUUUGGCUAUUUUCUAGGGAUAGGGCAUUACACCACUUCCUAAUUGAAUUUUUACAUCUCCACUGUUCAUAUCUUAGGUCUAUAUGAGUAGAUCACCUCUACAAAAUUUCAUAUGAUUUGGUGAUCGUUAAGGCUUUCAAAAGUUUGAUUUAGUUUUAAUGAUCUUGAACGGUCCAGCUUAUGUCAAACUAAAACCGUUAAAGGUCAU